AUCAUCUUUCUCAGGAAUUCCAGCUACAGUUAGAGAACUUUGCUCAGUCAUCUGAACAAGAGAAAGAGGAGUCAGGAUUUUCCUCUUCUAGACCAACAGGCCUCCAUCUUCACUAACUUAAGAGAGAAGUAAGGCAGCCACCGACUUGAAUGAUGAGGAGCGGAGUGGUGCUGUUUGUUCUGGGUCUGCUGUGCUUCUGCAGCUCCGUUUUUGGGCAGGAUGCUGAGGGGACUGAGCAGGGUGUUCAGGUCUUCUGUGAUGACAUGCACGUGCAAAAGGCUGCCCACAGCGCCUUGCACAAGUUCAACGACAAGUUGACCACUGGAUACAAGCUGGCUCUCUUUCAGAUCACAUCCGCCAGAAAG
Molecule: long non-coding RNA, 365 nt
Organism: Cyprinodon variegatus (sheepshead minnow)
Lineage: Eukaryota; Metazoa; Chordata; Actinopteri; Cyprinodontiformes; Cyprinodontidae
Exons: 3
Source: RefSeq, a predicted model, not a curated record